GACAGAGGGUGCAAACGUUGUUCGGAAUUACUGGGCGUAAAGCGUGUGUAGGCGGCUUCGCAAGUCGGAUGUGAAAGCCCCGGGCUCAACCCGGGAAGUGCACUCGAUACUGCGGGGCUAGAGUGUGGGAGAGGUUGGUGGAAUUCUCGGUGUAGAGGUGAAAUUCGUAGAUAUCGAGAGGAACACCGGCGGCGAAGGCGGCCAACUGGACCACUACUGACGCUGAGACACGAAAGCGUGGGGAGCAAACAGG
This 253-nucleotide ribosomal RNA is filed under the name uncultured bacterium. RNAcentral describes it as "partial 16S ribosomal RNA". It matches the Rfam family "Bacterial small subunit ribosomal RNA", at positions 524 to 776 of the family's 1533-position model. The record is from RNAcentral.